GCAUCGGUGGUUCAGUGGUAGAAUGCUCGCCUGCUGCGCGGGCGGCCCGGGUUCGAUCCCGGCCGAUGCA
Molecule: transfer RNA, 70 nt
Filed under: Heliconius melpomene (postman butterfly)
Lineage: Eukaryota; Metazoa; Arthropoda; Insecta; Lepidoptera; Nymphalidae
Description: tRNA HMEL007309
Rfam family: tRNA
About the family: Transfer RNA (tRNA) molecules are approximately 80 nucleotides in length. Their secondary structure includes four short double-helical elements and three loops (D, anti-codon, and T loops).
Source: RNAcentral